This 1243-nucleotide long non-coding RNA is filed under the name Olea europaea subsp. europaea. Lineage: Eukaryota; Viridiplantae; Streptophyta; Magnoliopsida; Lamiales; Oleaceae. The record is from RNAcentral.
UUUUCAAAGCUAUUGGACAGAACAAUUCAUCCCCGUUUCUCUAUUGGACCGAGCAGAACGCCGAAGAAAAAUCGUCUCCGACUGUCGACGGCGAGCACUUGGGUUUUAGGAAUCGAUAACUUCCAGCUAUUGUAAGGGUUUUUCUCCAUUAUUGUUGUGUUUAGGGUUCGUACGUCUUUAACCCAUUUCUCUGUUGGACAGAACAAAUCGCCCAUUUUCAAGUAGUAGUUAACGGUCGACGGCGAGCACUUGGGACUUCAGAUCGACGACUUCCAACUAUUGUAAGGGCUUUUCUCCAUUAUUGUCGUGUUUAGAGUUUCUGCGUGUUUCAGUUUCGAAAUUAAUGUCGGGACAAAGCUCCGUUUCUGGUUUGUGUUCUGAGUUUGAAAUUGUGUCAGCACAUUUUUAUUCAUAUUCAUUUAUCUUUUCAUGAAGAGUAGUAACCCCAAAAUUUGUGAAGGUAGAAUCCAGUAAUUUGAUAAGUUUGAAAUCUAAAAUACCCAUGGUGUAAAAAUUAGCAACACAUUUAACAUGAAACAAAAUUGCUAUAACUGGAGAUAUUUGGCAUAUAAAUUGUAAAACCAAAGUCUUCAGUUGGCUUUAUUUUAUUUAUUUGUCUUAGCCUACCUCAAGUUGAUGCAUUUCCACCAAAUCUAAAGAAGCUGACGAUUUCAAGCACCCUACUUGAUUGGGAUCACUGUCUACUCUAGGAAUGUUGGAAAAUCUUGAGAUCCGUCAGUUGAAAGAUGAUGCAUUUAAGGGAGACCGAUGGCAGACAGAGAAGGGAGGAUUCCGUAAUCUCAAAUUCUUGUAUAUUGGAAUACUGAUUUUGUAUUUUGGGAGACACUUAGUUUUGUUUUUGUAAUUGAACUAGGACCGACUGAUCUUGUUAUUUGGUGCAAGUUGCAUCGUGAUUAACUGUAUUUAUGGUUUCUAUUAAUGAAAAGGCUUUUCAUAUUACAUUUGAACAUUCUCCUUCCAGGUUAUUAUUCAAUGUUCAGAAUAUUGUAAUGAAUGAUAUAGCAGUUAUAUACUUUUAAGAAGAUGUUUAUGUAACUAGUGAAUGAUAUAGCAGGUUAUUCAAUGUUCAGAAUAUCUUAGUGAAUGAUAUAGCAGUUAUAUACUUGGCGAUUUCAUGUAACCAACUUGUCUUCGUCAUGCAACCAGCUUGUAUUGAGUAAAUGUGCUGGCUAUUGGUUACCUGAUUUUGUAAUUAGAUGCAAGUUGCAUCGUUUAAUCGCAG